AAAAAAAAAAAAAAAAAAACACAAGAUACUCGAGCAGCUCUUGGAACAAGAACAACCGAUUGUUUUCAAUCGAAACCCCUACCAGGUGGGACAGUUCCAUCUCUCGUCUUCAUUUUUUUUUUUCUCUCCUAGAUCCCUCUUGUAAAGCUUUUGAAUAACGGUUUUCCCAUUUCAAUUAUACCAAUCAUUGACCGGAAAAAGCUGCAUUUAGCUGUUUUGCGCCAAGUGCUUGGUAUAAUGAUACUCGGAGAAUUAAUUUAGUUUUGAAAUUUUUUUCCGUUCUUGGAUUGCUUUCAUUGUCAAACCAGAUUGAAAUAAACCAGCUAUAAGCCAGAUGUUGAAAAAGAUCGAUUUUUCAAGUGUCAAUAUUGCUAUAUAUUGUUUCUGGUUGUGUAAUUCCGAAGAAAUUCAGACAAUUUAGUUUUUAGAAAUGUAAUUAAUUAAGCAUUAACUUUGAAUCACAUAUGGUCUAAAGGGAGUUGGCUGAAUAUGAGACUUUCUAUUGGAAGCCUCGACUGCAUAACCCUAGCUUAGUUAUUUUACAAAGCAUUGUUGAGUUGGUGGUGUCUUUUUGUUUAGACCUUUGCUUAGUUAUGGUUAUUGAUUAAUUGGGCUUUUUUUUUAUCCUCUUUUAAUCUUUUGCUUAUUUGUGGAUAUUGAUUGCCGGCAGUUAUUUGGUACUGUCUUUUGAAUGCUGAUUUUCAGACUCUUGAUAAAGAUGGUUUCUUAAUGUUCAUUGUAACCAGGCGAGACUAGAGAGAAACAUAAAUGGAGAAAAAGGGGAAAAAGAAGGUGCUAAAAGACAAGGCAGAUGCUGUUAACGAUGAUGAUGAUUUGUGCUGGUGGUUUGUUCACAAAGGAAUUGAAUCCUCAUUCCUGUGUAUUGCUGUGUUUGGGUUGUUAGUUCGAGCAACUGUAUCACUCCAUCCAUACUCUGGCGCCGGCAAUCCCCCCAAGUUUGGUGACUAUGAGGCACAGCGGCAUUGGAUGGAAAUCACGCUCAAUCUUCCAGUGAAGGAGUGGUACCACAACAGCACCAACAAUGAUCUUAGUUACUGGGGACUUGACUACCCUCCCCUCACUGCCUACCAGAGUUAUGUUCAUGGCAUUUUCUUGAGAUACUUUGAACCUGCCUCUGUUUCCCUUUUUAAUUCCCGUGGUUAUGAGUCCUAUCUUGGGAAACAGCUCAUGAGAUGGACAGUCUUAUCCUCUGAUGCCCUGAUUUUUUUCCCUGCUGUUCUUUAUUUUCUUUUUGUGUAUUAUGGCAAUCACUCCAGUGGACGUAAAACUGAUGUAGCAUGGCACAUUGCAAUGAUUUUAAUCAAUCCAUGUUUGAUCUUAAUUGACCAUGGCCAUUUUCAGUAUAAUUGUAUCAGCUUGGGCCUUACCAUAGGAGCUAUUGCUGCAGUUCUCGCUCACAAGGACCUUGUAGCAUCUUUUCUCUUCUGUCUUUCUCUCAAUCAUAAGCAGAUGAGUGCCUAUUUUGCACCUGCUUUUUUCAGCCAUCUCUUAGGUAACUGCCUAAAGCGUAAGAAUCCCGUGCUUGAGGUUUCAAAGCUGGGAUUGGUGGUCAUGGGAACGUUCACUAUUAUUUGGUGGCCAUAUCUUCAUUCAAGAGAUACAGUUUUGGAGGUUCUCUUCCGCCUAGCUCCUUUUGAGAGAGGGAUAUACGAGGAUUAUGUAGCUAACUUUUGGUGCACCACAUCGAUUCUCAUUAAGUGGAAGAGAUUAUUUGCAACACAAUCACUGAAGUUUCUCAGCUUAGUAGCCACCGUAUUAACCUGUCUACCUUCAAUGGUUCAGCAAAUAUUGGCUCCGAGCAGAAAAGGUUUCCUUUAUGGGCUGUUGAAUAGCUCUUUCUCAUUCUACUUAUUUUCAUUUCAAGUGCAUGAGAAGUCUAUUCUGCUGCCACUUCUGCCUGCAAGCCUACUAGCUACAGAAUUGCGUGGGCCAUUCAAGUUAUUAAUGCAUUAUGCAUUGUUUUCUAUGUUUCCUCUUCUGUGGCGAGACAAAUUGAUUAUUCCAUAUGUGGCUCUUUAUGCUCUCUUCUUCCUUCUUUACUUUACACCCAGCAGAAGAAGAGAAGCUAAAAUUCAUCAUUCCACCACGCUUACCGGCCUCUCAAUUUUGUUGACCUUUCUGUAUCUGUGCUCUCUUCUUCUUCAUAUAAUUUACUUGACCAUUCAUCCACCAAAGAAGUAUCCUUUCCUUUUUGAAGCAAUGAUUAUGCUUCUCUGCUUUUCUCACUUCGUAUUGUUUGUUUUUUACACCAAUGCACGCCAAUGGAUGUUGUCUGGACAAUAUACAUCGAAGGAUAAAGAAAAGAAACUGAAUUGACCUUUUAAUUCUGGGGAUUAGGUUUGUAUGAUUGAUAUUUAACAUUUUGUUUGUGUUUGUGGCAACAUUGAAGUGAAGGUGGCAAAUUCUUAUGUAAGCAUUGGGUGAGAAAUUAUUUAAGUGAACCAUAUCUUAAUUGAUUUAGGAAGUUUAUAAUUUCCUAUUUUAGCACGACACACAGGGAAUUGCCUGCAUGAUUUCAUGUUUAUUUGCUCCAUUGGUUGAGAAUGCAAACUUUCUGGUUUAAAUUUGCGCAGAAUUUCUGAUGUUGAUGGCAAAGACUUCUUUCAAUUCUUCAG
Molecule: unclassified non-coding RNA, 2636 nt
Filed under: Hevea brasiliensis (rubber tree)
Lineage: Eukaryota; Viridiplantae; Streptophyta; Magnoliopsida; Malpighiales; Euphorbiaceae
Source: RNAcentral